Molecule: transfer RNA, 88 nt
Filed under: Actinomycetaceae bacterium
Lineage: Bacteria; Bacillati; Actinomycetota; Actinomycetes; Actinomycetales; Actinomycetaceae
Description: tRNA-Ser
Rfam family: tRNA
About the family: Transfer RNA (tRNA) molecules are approximately 80 nucleotides in length. Their secondary structure includes four short double-helical elements and three loops (D, anti-codon, and T loops).
Source: RNAcentral
GGAGGAUUGUCCGAGCGGCCGAAGGAGGCGGUCUUGAAAACCGUUAUGCGGUAACCCCGCAUCGGGGGUUCAAAUCCCUCAUCCUCCG